AGCUCCAAUAACGUAUAUUAAAGUUGUUGCGGUUAAAAAGCUCGUAGUUGGAUUUCUGUUGAAAGUGGCCGGUCCCCACUCUGUGGGCGUAUCUGGUUCGCUUUUGGCAUCCUCCUGUGGAACGUUUCUGCACUUCAUUGGGUGGAGCGGGACCCAGGACUUUUACUUUGAGGAAAUUCGAGUGUUUACGGCAGGCAAUCGCCUUGAAGAUAUUAGCAUGGAAUAAUAAUAUAGGACCUUGGUUCUAUUUUGUUGGUUUCUAGGACUGAG
Molecule: ribosomal RNA, 270 nt
Filed under: uncultured eukaryote
Lineage: Eukaryota
Description: partial small subunit ribosomal RNA
Rfam family: Eukaryotic small subunit ribosomal RNA
Source: RNAcentral